UGGGGGUGGCUUUGAUGGUGGUUGGAAGGAUGUUGUGGUUGAACUGGGGUGGGGGCUGCGGUGAAACUGAUGUUGGGUGUGUAGAGGAAGUUGGGUGGCUCAAGAAUGGUUGGGACUUGGGUAUGAUUUGGUUUGGUGGGUUGGUUUUUGAAAUGAUUCUUUUGAUUACUUGGUAUGGUUUUAUGAUUUUAUUUCUUGGAAGUUGA
RNAcentral lists this long non-coding RNA (206 nucleotides) under Prunus dulcis (almond). RNAcentral's name for it is "sRNA ncRNA". Lineage: Eukaryota; Viridiplantae; Streptophyta; Magnoliopsida; Rosales; Rosaceae. The record is from RNAcentral.